AUGACAGGAGAUGCUCAUCAUGAAGCCAAAGCUGAGGACAUCAUUGAGCUUACUUCCCUGCCCACUCCUGGUGAGUUGUAUGAACCAGGUUGUCAGCUCUAUCAAAAUGAACUGCAGAGCAUCUUUCAGAAGCCAAAGCCAAAUAUGAGUCAGAUGCUGAGCAUGAUGAAGCCAUUGCCCCAAGAUGAUGAAUACCCUAAAGAGUUCUUUGUCGAAGACCUCGAGUACUUGCCCCGCAUAGUAUAUCACAUUCUAAGGCGUACUCUAUGGCCAAUUAAAGGCAACUCUUCUGGAGCUAAACUCAAAGGCGCUGAAGACAUUGGUCUUCUAUAUUUUCCAUGUCAUAAGAUUCAACACAAAGGAUUUCUUCAUCCGCCAGCUGGCUGCUUCUGGAAUUGA
RNAcentral lists this ribosomal RNA (399 nucleotides) under Triticum aestivum (bread wheat). Its description in RNAcentral is "partial small subunit ribosomal RNA". The record is from RNAcentral. Lineage: Eukaryota; Viridiplantae; Streptophyta; Magnoliopsida; Poales; Poaceae.